GGCGAGACGUGGGCCCAAUUCAGAGACUAAUGGUCAAGAGGUGAUCGAUGAGGAGCCAUAGUGGUGGAGUCCACCGGUCGAGGCAGCAAUGCUAAGUUUUCUACCUAAGGUCGUCCCCAAUAGGGUUGCAUCGAGAGGAUUUUAAAAACAAUCGACGUGACACUGGAAUAAGGAGGGAAAAAAAGUUGACUUGCUUGAUUGAAAACCAUUACACCCCUAAGUCCUGACCAUCAACGCCCAGCAAUGGUCACUCCGAUCUCGUCAAAUUUCGGCCAAUCUAUGUGAGCUCAUCCACUCCUCAUUCUUAAUUUGCGCCUCAUUAUCGCGUUCAAGUCAUCUUCGACCAGACGUUUUAGAGGCUACUACACAUAGCGAAGAAGAGUAAAGCUCCACUUUCCCCAAAUCCCUAUAGGUAUCAUCACUCUUGUGGCUUGACAUAUUUAUAAUUUUGUUUAGCAAACUGCGGCUUGUUAUAUACCGUAAAGUUAGAUGAUUGUCGCUGUUGUCCAAAAUGAGACUUUAGCUUUAUGCUGUAAUGUUGCUUAGGAAGCUAAUUACUUGGUCUUUAAACUUCGAUUGUAUGAGAUUUCUAUUGAAAAUGAAAUUUAGCUAUUUUUGUCUUUUUA
Long non-coding RNA from Olea europaea var. sylvestris, 626 nucleotides. RefSeq lists it as uncharacterized. The record is from RefSeq and is a predicted model, not a curated record. NCBI's taxonomy places the organism in Eukaryota, Viridiplantae, Streptophyta, Magnoliopsida, Lamiales, Oleaceae. The transcript has 2 exons.